This 389-nucleotide ribosomal RNA is filed under the name uncultured bacterium. RNAcentral's name for it is "bacterial SSU rRNA". It matches the Rfam family "Bacterial small subunit ribosomal RNA", at positions 29 to 404 of the family's 1533-position model. The record is from RNAcentral.
AACGAACGUUAGCGGCGCGCCUAACACAUGCAAGUCGAGCGAGAAAGGGCUUCGGCCCCGGUAAAGCGGCGCACGGGUGAGUAACACGUAGGUAAUCUACCCCUGAAUGGUGGAUAACUCUCCGAAAGGAGAGCUAAUACAGCAUAAGACCACGGCCUCUUCGGAGGCUGAGGCCAAAGCGGGCCACUUCACGAAAGCUCGCGUUUGGGGAUGAGCCUGCGGCCCAUCAGCUAGNGGCGGUGUAAAAGACCACCAAGGCUAAGACGGGUAGCUGGUCUGAGAGGAUGAACAGCCACACUGGAACUGAGACACGGUCCAGACUCCUACGGGAGGCAGCAGUGGGGAAUCUUGCGCAAUGGGCGAAAGCCUGACGCAGCGACGCCGCGUGA